GAUGAACGCUGGCGGCGUGCCUAAUACAUGCAAGUCGAGCGAACGGACGAGAAGCUUGCUUCUCUGAUGUUAGCGGCGGACGGGUGAGUAACACGUGGAUAACCUACCUAUAAGACUGGGAUAACUUCGGGAAACCGGAGCUAACACCGGAUGAUAUUUUGAACCGCAUGGUUCAAAAGUGAAAGACGGUCUUGCUGUCACUUAUAGAUGGAUCCGCGCUGCAUUAGCUAGUUGGUAAGGUAACGGCUUACCAAGGCAACGAUGCAUAGCCGACCUGAGAGGGUGAUCGGCCACACUGGAACUGAGACACGGUCCAGACUCCUACGGGAGGCAGCAGUAGGGAAUCUUCCGCAAUGGGCGAAAGCCUGACGGAGCAACGCCGCGUGAGUGAUGAAGGUCUUCGGAUCGUAAAACUCUGUUAUUAGGGAAGAACAUAUGUGUAAGUAACUGUGCACAUCUUGACGGUACCUAAUCAGAAAGCCACGGCUAACUACGUG
This 497-nucleotide ribosomal RNA is filed under the name uncultured bacterium. Its description in RNAcentral is "partial 16S ribosomal RNA". It matches the Rfam family "Bacterial small subunit ribosomal RNA", at positions 28 to 507 of the family's 1533-position model. The record is from RNAcentral.